UUCUUCUAAUUUCAUUGAUUAAAUUUUACAAAUUGCAAUAUGGUCUCCAAAAAAACAAUUACAUGCUAACUUGUCCGGCAACCGGAAGGCCGGGGAAAAACUGCUGGAAAAAACAUCGUAUAGUCGGAAAAUCAAGAAAGUUUUUGUAGUCUCUUUCUUCAGUGAUUUGAUGAAAAAACUUCAAAAUCUGUAGUGAAAAAUUUGAGAAUAUGGAAAGAGAAAUGUGCUUUGAGUGUUUACAGCGUCGAAUUCAAUCAGAUUUCUCUGACCAACUCAUCUUCUGCUAUGGUGUUUCUAAUUCACCUCUUCCCUUUGGUUCUACUGCUAUUGUUCAGACAUCAAGUUCAAAUGGAGAAGGGUUGCCUCAGUUUCUGCUGAAGUAUAUGCCCCUGUGUAAAGAUAGUUGCUUGGCUAAUUACAUUGAUCAACAUUAUUUGGAAGAUUUUGAAGCCAGAACGAAUAGUGGCAGUGGGUGUGAAGUCCCGGUGGCGAUUGAUCAGGUUAAAACUGAGGUCAGUGUUGGACUUUCCAGUGAUAAAACUUCUUCUUUAGAAACUAGAUCAUCUGAAUGUGAAGAUUUGCAGAAUGGUGGCAGACAUCAAUCCCUAUAUGGCUUAGCCUGUCAAAAUGUGACCUGUAACUUUUCUGGUACAUUUUCUUGCUUUAGGACACUGUCUGCCCUGGCUCCAGUUGCUCGGAUUGGGAUUUCUUCAUCUUCAUUUGUUGAAGGUAUUGUUUCAGAGUUCUUGUCUGGAUCACUUGAAGAUCAUGUUUUAAAUUCUCUUACUCUCAUGAUAGAAGGUAAAAGAUCAGGAUUGGAGAGUGUGAACUUUCUUAGUUUAGUGGGGAUCCCAUCAUUUGGUGAAGAACAACUUCCUGGCUGCAUAAGGCAUCCAAACAUUUCUCCAACUUUGGGAAUGCUAAAAAAUUCUGGUCAACUUAAUUUGUUGCUUCCAAAAAUGCCACAUACCUUGGAAAACAUUCUUCACUUUAGCCCUGGUGCCUUAAAGUCUGACUGGCAUAUGCGGUAUUUACUCUUCCAGAUACUAUCAGGAUUAGCAUACAUGCAUGGUUUAGGUGUUUUCCAUGGUAAUGUCUGUCCAUCCAAUAUAUCAUUGGUUGAUUCCUUAUGGUGUUGGCUACCCAUUUGUAGUAAGUUCCUCCAGAGUUCUGUUUCAAUUUCCAAAAUAGAGGGUAGUUGUGAUUCAGGAGUUAGUUGCUGUUUUGAUGGGUGCCCUUUACAAGGUCUUUAUGCUGAUCUAAGCCUCUCCCAGUCUACAGAUUGGUAUUCUAGCUUUAAACUUUGGUGGAGGGGUGAAAUAAGUAACUUCGAAUAUCUGUUACUCUUAAACCAAUUAGCCGGGAGAAGAUGGGGUGAUAACACCUUUUAUAUUGUAAUGCCAUGGGUCAUAGAUUUUAGUGUGAAACCUGAUGAGAAUAAUGACACUGGAUGGAGAGAUUUAACUAAAAGCAAGUGGCGGCUGGCAAAGGGUGACGAGCAAUUGGACUUCACAUAUUCGACAUCUGAAAUUCCUCAUCAUAUAUCAGAUGAGUGCCUGUCUGAGCUGGCUGUCUGCAGUUAUAAGGCAAGGAGGUUGCCUUUGGCUGUUCUGAGGAUGGCUGUUCGUUCAGUUUAUGAACCUAAUGAAUAUCCUUCUACUAUGCAAAGACUAUAUCAAUGGACACCAGAUGAGUGCAUUCCGGAAUUUUUUUGUGAUCCCCAGAUAUUUUAUUCUAUACAUUCUGGGAUGUCUGAUUUAGCUGUGCCUUCAUGGGCUGGAACCCCUGAGGAGUUCAUCAAGUUGCACAGAGAUGCUUUAGAAAGCGAUAGGGUAUCACACCAACUACAUCAUUGGAUUGACAUCACUUUUGGCUACAAAUUGUGCGGUGAUGCUGCUGUUGCUGCCAAAAAUGUUAUGCUGCCCUCAUCUGCUCCUACAAAACCGAAGUCAGUGGGCCGCCGCCAACUCUUUACUAAACCACAUCCUCCUCGGCGGCUGGCCAAGACCAGUGAAGCAGAAAUGAAUCAGUUCUCUACAAGUGAUUUGACUGAGCAUGCUCUGCCUUUUGAAACUUCAUUCUUGUAUGAAUUAGAACAAGCAGCUGUGUUUUCUGAGCAUGCACCUCGUUUGGAUCCUAUCUACAACUUGCAUCCAGAUGUUCAUGAAGAGCUUGACUCACCUGGGAAAGGCCUAUCAACUAAAACAUUAGAUAAUAUUAUGUCCAGAAAAACUGGCUCUAGCACCAAUUCUGUUAUGCCAUCUGCUAUUGAUGUUAAUUACCUUAUCAGGAAUAUUGAAGUGGGUGAUGAUGUAUCUGUGGGAUAUCAAGCACUAUUACUUUGGAAGCAGAAAUGUUCCCAUUCACACAUUUAUUCCAAAGAUUUUGCUAAUGAUAUCUUUGCAGUUGGCUGUAUCUUAGCAGAACUCCACUUGAGUAGGCCACUUUUUGAUCCAACCUCUAUGGCUGUGUACUUAGAGAGUGGUGUCUUACCUUCUUUAGUACAACAGCUUCCCCCUGACGCUCAAGUUGUUGUUGAAUCCUGCAUCCAAAAGGAUUGGAGGAGGAGGCCUACUGCCAAAUGUCUUUUGGACUCUCCUUAUUUUCUAGCAACAAUCAAGUCAUCCUAUUUGUUUCUUGCCCCCCUUCAACUUAUAGCAAAAGAUGAAUCACGACUUCAUUAUGCUGCAGCUUUUGCUCAACAGGGAGCCUUGAAAGCAAUGGGAACAUUUGCUGCCGAAAUGUGUGCUCCUAACUGUUUGAAAUUAGUCUUGAAUCCUUUAUCAGAUUCGGAAGCUGAAUGGGGUUGCAUAGUACUUACAGAAUUUUUGAGGUGUCUAGAUCCAGAAGCUGUAAAGAAGCUAGUCGUACCUGCUAUCCAGAAGAUUCUUCAGGGGACUGGUCCUUCAUAUUUGAAGGUGUCUCUUCUCCAAGGUUCCUUUGUGCUGGAUAUAUGGAACAAGAUUGGUAAACAAGCAUAUGUGGAGACAAUACACCCAUUUGUGGUAUUAAACUUACACGGUACUCCUUGCAAGAACUCUGCUGCUGCUGCUUCUGUCCUGUUGAUUGGGUCUAGUGAGGAACUUGGUAUUCCAAUUACUGUUCAUCAGACAAUUUUACCUCUCCUUCACUGCUUUGGCAAAGGGCUCAGUGAUGAUGGAAUUGAUGUCUUAGUUAGAAUUGGUAGUCUUUUUGGAGAAGAUUUCAUAGUCAAACAGAUUCUACCAUUACUAAGAAUUGUCAUCACUUCGUGCAUUGACAAUUCAUUUGCAAAUAAGCAUGAAACUGCACAGAGUUGGAGUGCUUUGGCCCUAAUUGACACUCUAAUGACUUUAGAUGGUCUCACUGCUUCCUUGACCCGGGAGGUGCUUGUUAAGGAGCUUGUUGAAGAUGGAAAAUUCUUAUAUCUGCAAGUUCUCAUGCAGACCAACUUAGGAAUUCAGGUGUUCGAGGGUGCUGCAAGGAAUCUGCUAGCUCUUUGCCAGCAAAUUGGAUCAGACUUAACAGCGUUGCACGUCCUUCCAAAACUCAGGAAACUUUUUGAUGAGCUUGCCUUCUCCCAGGAGAAAGCAGGUCAUUCUAGCAUCAAGGGAGGAAGCCUUCGAGGUCCCAAUACCAAGAAGGAAGAUGAGAACAAAAUUACAAGCCGUUUGGACCUUGUGAUGCUUUUAUAUCCAUCAUUUGCAUCUCUUCUUGGUAUAGAGAAGCUUCGCCAAUGUUGUGCCACAUGGUUGCUACUAGAGCAGUUUCUUCUACGCCGUUAUAAUUGGAAGUGGGAAUCCACAGGGGAAUCUUCUCGAAGUGGUCCAUCUAGUAUAUAUGCUAGAAAGCCGACUCAUGGUGAGAGCUUAACAUCUAAACAUACUCCAGAUACGUUGCUGAAUGGGUUAGGGUGGUCAACGCCUCAAUCACAAGGAAAAAAGGGUGCCAAACCUCCUAUGAUCAACAGACAUCCGUCCAGUCAACAUCAGGAUUCUGCUGAUAGGAAUGCAAGAGGCUCAGAUUUUAGCAGGAUUGAGCCCUGGUAUUGGUUCCCCAGUCCAGCUGCUAAUUGGAGUGGCCCUGAUUUUAUUGGCCGUCCUGGUGGUUCAAAGGAUGAACUUCCAUGGAAAAUCAAAGCAUCAGUUCUGCACUCUGUUAGAGCACAUCAAGGAUUGCUAAGGUCUAUAGCAGUCUGCCAAGAUGAAUGCAAUCUUUUCACUGCUGGAGUUGCUCCAGGAUUCAAAGGAACUGUUCAAAAGUGGGAGUUGUCAAGAAUUGAUUCUGUAUCUGGUUAUUAUGGCCAUGAGGAGGUUGUGAACGACAUUUCUCUUUUGGCAUCAAGUGGAAGGGUAGCUUCCUGUGAUGGGACAGUACAUGUAUGGAAUGGCCAAACGGGGAAGCUGAUAUCUGUGUUUGCUGAGUUUUCUACGAGUUCUGUGCAUCAUACAAGCUCUUUACCAAAAGCUUCAAAGUUGAAUGUGGAACAGGCUAAUAUGCUACAUUUUAAUCCAUUGUCCGGUGGAAUAUUGAACACUGAUGGUAAUUUAUACACUAGUAUGUAUUACUCAGAAUAUCUGGACAAUAUUGUAGUGGGUACUGGAAAUGGAUCUCUCAGAUUCAUUGAUGUCAGACAAGGUCAAAAACUUCAUUUAUGGAGGACUGAAGCAACUGAAUCCAAUUUUCCUUCUCUCAUAUCAUCUAUAUGCUCAAGUGCUUCGACCAAACAGCAAUGCGGAAAUCCUCAAUAUCCAUCUUGGGUUGCUGCUGGACAAAGUUCUGGGCAUUGCAGGUUAUUUGAUGUGAGGAGUGGCAAAAUUAUUUCCUCAUGGCAAGCUCAUGAUGGUUUUGUCACUAAGAUAGCCACAUCGGAAGAGCAUUUGCUGGUUUCAAGCUCUCAUGACCGCACCUUAAAGAUUUGGGACUUGAGAAGGUCACUUUGGUGUUAUACAUUUAUUCUUAAGCUUAGCAAUAUGGAGAAACUAAGCUCCCACAAAAUGGGGAUAAAAUUGGAAAUCAAAACCCUUGGCUUCUAGAGGUCACACUGAUGGUGUUUCUGAUUUCUCCAUUUGGGGGCAAUAUGUGAUUUCAAUUUUCCGCAGUAAAAUUGGGCUUUCUUCUUUGGCCUGUUCUUCUGAUGAAGACGUUCAGCAACUUGUCGCGCCUCAGUAUCUCUACAUGGGUGAUCGUGAAUCAAAGAACGUGUCUGUUUUAUCAAGUAUCAGUGUUUUACCUUUUUCGCGGCUCUUUGUUGUUGGAACAGAAGAUGGUCACUUGAAGAUCUGUUGCUAGCUUGCUUCUGUCCUGGAAAAUCUCUUUGCCUUCCAAUUUUCCUAAUUUAUUUUGUAUUAAUUGUUUCAUUUAAGUUGGUUGUUAUCAAAUUGGACAUUCUUUAUGGUGUUUCCUCAUACUUGCGGAGGAUAUAAUGAACUUGAAAUGUCACUUACGUAACUUUCUUUUCGUUAUUUGCCUCAUUUUAAAGAAA
Molecule: RNA transcript, 5464 nt
Organism: Solanum lycopersicum (tomato)
Lineage: Eukaryota; Viridiplantae; Streptophyta; Magnoliopsida; Solanales; Solanaceae
Gene name: protein GFS12
Source: RefSeq, a predicted model, not a curated record